This 75-nucleotide transfer RNA is filed under the name Nitrososphaerota archaeon. RNAcentral's name for it is "Thaumarchaeota archaeon (marine metagenome) tRNA-Thr". It matches the Rfam family "tRNA". From Rfam's summary of the family: Transfer RNA (tRNA) molecules are approximately 80 nucleotides in length. Lineage: Archaea; Thermoproteati; Nitrososphaerota. RNAcentral also lists the same sequence under 1 other name. The record is from RNAcentral.
GCCCCAGUAGCUCAGAUCGGCCAGAGCGACUACCUCGUAAGUAGUAGGUCCUGGGUUCAAAUCCCAGCUGGGGCU